This 338-nucleotide ribosomal RNA is filed under the name uncultured bacterium. RNAcentral's name for it is "bacterial SSU rRNA". It matches the Rfam family "Bacterial small subunit ribosomal RNA", at positions 71 to 422 of the family's 1533-position model. The record is from RNAcentral.
AAGUGGCAGCAAUGCCAUGAGUAAAGUGGCGCACGGGUGAGUAACACGUGACUAACCUACCCUGGAGUGGGGGAUAACUGAGGGAAACCUUAGCUAAUACCGCAUAAUACCCACGGGUCAAAGGAGCAAUUCGCUCUGGGAGGGGGUCGCGGCCGAUUAGUUAGUUGGCGGGGUAACGGCCCACCAAGACGAUGAUCGGUAUCCGGCCUGAGAGGGCGCACGGACACACUGGAACUGAAACACGGUCCAGACUCCUACGGGAGGCAGCAGUGGGGAAUUUUGCGCAAUGGGGGAAACCCUGACGCAGCAACGCCGCGUGGAGGAUGAAGUCCUUCGGG